GAUUAUGGCUCAGGAUGAACGCUAGCUACAGGCUUAACACAUGCAAGUCGAGGGGCAGCAUGGUCUUAGCUUGCUAAGUUUGAUGGCGACCGGCGCACGGGUGAGUAACACGUAUCCAACCUGCCGAUGACUCGGGGAUAGCCUUUCGAAAGAAAGAUUAAUACCCGAUGGCAUAAUUCUUCCGCAUGGUAGAACUAUUAAAGAAUUUCGGUCAUCGAUGGGGAUGCGUUCCAUUAGGUUG
This 241-nucleotide ribosomal RNA is filed under the name uncultured bacterium. RNAcentral describes it as "partial 16S ribosomal RNA". It matches the Rfam family "Bacterial small subunit ribosomal RNA", at positions 15 to 248 of the family's 1533-position model. The record is from RNAcentral.